Molecule: ribosomal RNA, 409 nt
Filed under: uncultured bacterium
Lineage: Bacteria
Description: bacterial SSU rRNA
Rfam family: Bacterial small subunit ribosomal RNA
Source: RNAcentral
UGGGGAAUAUUGCACAAUGGGCGAAAGCCUGAUGCAGCGACGCCACGUGAGGGAUGACGGCCUUCGGGUUGUAAACCUCUUUCAGCAGGGAAGAAGCGAAAGUGACGGUACCUGCAGAAGAAGCGCCGGCUAACUACGUGCCAGCAGCCGCGGUAAUACGUAGGGCGCAAGCGUUGUCCGGAAUUAUUGGGCGUAAAGAGCUCGUAGGCGGUCUGUCGCGUCUGGUGUGAAAUCCCAUGGCUCAACUGUGGGCUUGCAUCGGGUACGGGCAGACUAGAGUGCUGUAGGGGAGACUGGAAUUCCUGGUGUAGCGGUGGAAUGCGCAGAUAUCAGGAGGAACACCGAUGGCGAAGGCAGGUCUCUGGGCAGUUACUGACGCUGAGGAGCGAAAGCAUGGGGAGCGAACAGG